UUACAAAAUCAAUAUGACAUACUUUUCAGGUCUUUACAAAAUCAACAUGACAUACUUUUCAGGUCAUUACAAAAUCAAUAUGACAUACUUUUCAGGUCAUUACAAAAUCAAUAUGACAUACUUUUCAGGUCUUUACAAAAUCAACAUGACAUACUUUUCAGGUCAUUACAAAAUCAUGACAUACUUUUCAGGUCUUUACAAAAUCAAUAUGACAUACUUUUCAGGUCAUUACAAAAUCAAUAUG
Molecule: long non-coding RNA, 244 nt
Organism: Penaeus indicus
Lineage: Eukaryota; Metazoa; Arthropoda; Malacostraca; Decapoda; Penaeidae
Exons: 3
Source: RefSeq, a predicted model, not a curated record